Molecule: long non-coding RNA, 2268 nt
Organism: Homo sapiens (human)
Lineage: Eukaryota; Metazoa; Chordata; Mammalia; Primates; Hominidae
Source: Ensembl
GGAAGAUCCGGAUAGUGCAUCCCGGCCACGGCGCGCCUGCUCUGGGCUCUCCGCGUGCCGCGUCGCUUUCUUUUCUUCCUCUGGAGCAGUUAUGGCGGCGGCGAAGACCCUGAACCCCAAGGCCAAGGUGGCCGGAGCGCAGGCGGCGCUGGCGUUCAACAUUAGCGGGGCGCGGGGUCUGCAGGACGUGCUGAGGACCAACCUGGGGCCCAAAGGGACCAUAAAGAUGUAAGCAAAUUCAACACCCAACAGCUUCCUUAAUAGCAAAGGUAGCAACAGCCCAGGAUGAUAUAACUGGUGAUGGUACGACUUCCAAUGUCCUAAUCAUUGGAGAGCUGCUGAAACAGGCAGAUCUCUACAUUUCUGAAGGCCUUCAUCCCAGAAUAAUCACUGAAGGAUUUGAAGCUGUGAAGGAAAAGCCCUUCAUUUUUUGGAAGAAGUCAAAGUAAGCAGAGAGAUGGACAAGGAAACACUUAAAGAUGUGGCCAGGGCAUCUCUUUGUACUAAAGUUCAUGCUGAACUUGCAGAUGUCUUAACAGAGGCUGUAGUGGGCUCCAUUUUGGCCAUUAAAAGAAAAGAUGAACCUAUUGAUCUCUUCAUGAUUUUGUGAUCAUUGACAAGAAACAUAAAUCUGAAACUGAUACAAGAGAAGUGAAUUCUGGCGUUUUUUACAAGAGUGCAGAAAGAGAAAAACUCAUAAAAGCUGAAAGAAAAUUCAUUGAAGAUAGAGUUAAAACAAAUAAUAGAACUGAAAAGGAAAGUCUGUAGUAAUUCAGAUAAAGGAUUUGUUAUUAAUCAAAAGGGAAUUGACCCCUUUUCCUUAGAUGCUCUUUCAAAGAAGGCAUAGUCGCUCUUCACAGAGCUAAAAGGAGGAAUAUGGAGAGGCUGACUCUUGCUUGUGGUGGGGUGGCCCUGAAUUCUUUUGAGGACCUAAGUCCUGACUGCUUGAGACAUGCAGGACUUGUAUAUGAGUAUACAUUGGGAGAAGUUCACCUUUAUUGAGAAGUGUAACAACCCUCGUUCUGUCACAUUAUUGAUCAAAGGACCAAAUAAGCCCACACUUAGAUCAAAGAUGCAGUAAGGGAUGGCUUGAGGGCUGUCAAAAAUGCUAUUGAUGAUGGCUGUGUGGUUCCGGUGCUGGUGCCGUGGAAGUGGCAAUGGCAGAAGCCCUGAAUAAAUAUAAGCUCAGUGUAAAGGGCAAGGCACAGCUUGGAGUCCAAGCAUUUGCUGAUGUGUUGCUCGUUAUUCCCAAGGUGAGCCCGUGGUAGCAGCAGAAGCAGGCAUUAUGGGAUAACGAUUGUGUAAAGAAACAGCUUCUUCAUUCCUGCACUGGUUGCCACCAACAUUCUCUUGGUUGAUGAGAUCAUGCGAGCUGGAAUCUUCUCUGAAAGGUUGAAUUGAAGCUUCCUCUGUAUCUGAGUCUUGAAGACUCUGCAAAGUGAUCCUGAAGAAUACAGCUGUGGAAUUUUUGUCCAAGCUUCAAAUGAGUUUCAAGGGAAUUUUCCCAUGUGAAAAAAGGAGAGAACACUGGCAUCUGUUGAAAUUCGGAAGUUCUGAAAUUAUAAUCACAGUAUUUUUUAAAAAUUGCACUGAAGUGUACACAGAUAAAGCAGGUCUUUCACCCAGUGAACAGGAUGUUUUGCUUUAGCAGCAGUGACAUAAAAUUCCAUGUUAAAUAAGCAUAUAUUACCUACCUUAUUAAAUAUUCCUUGAAAAAGCAGAUUUUAAUGGUUUAAUUUUAUGUGGACAUAUGUUAAAUUAUUCAGCAGUACCCUAUUGUUAAGCAUCUGGUUUUAAAAUUUUUAUGCUAAUAUAAAUAACGCUUAGUAAUUUAAAAUUUUGGAAGCAUCCCGUUAGUGUAAAUUUCUGAGUAAAUUUAUUGAUCAGUUGGACUUUUCACGCUUUUGAAAUAGCUUUGCUAAAAUGCUCCCCCUACAAAGUUGUAGGAAAUGGGAAGAGGAGUAAACUAGAGGCAAGGGAGUUGAGAGAGCUGGAAGGCAUGGUGGCUAAGGGCUACGGUUAUCAGGUGAAAUUUGAGAUUUGUAGGCUGACUAUAUUUUCAAGCUUCUGAACUUUUGCUUAUGCAAAAUAUUCAUCCCAAAGCCUCUAGCGUCAUAGUUUCCUCACCCAAAUUACUAUGUUUCCACAAGAUUUAUAUAGUUGGUCUAUCUCUGCGGUCCUUGAAAGUGAAGUUGGUGUUACUAGGCUGUGGGUUUUGGGGGCUCAGCAGUGACCUGGAGUGUGCAAAUAAAUGUUAAGUUGAAACCU